Small nuclear RNA from Ochotona princeps (American pika), 105 nucleotides. Lineage: Eukaryota; Metazoa; Chordata; Mammalia; Lagomorpha; Ochotonidae. The record is from RefSeq and is a predicted model, not a curated record.
UGCUCGCUUCAGCAGCACAAUACUUACAUUGGAACAAUACAGAGAAGAUUAACAUGGCCCCUUUGCAAGAAUCACACACAAAUUCGUGAACCGUCCCAUAUUAAA